CCUACGGGAGACAGCAGUGAGGAAUAUUGGUCAAUGGGCGAGAGCCUGAACCAGCCAAGUCGCGUGAGGGAGUACUGCCCUAUGGGUUGUAAACCUCUUUUGUCGGGGAGCAAAAGCCGGACGUGUCCGGCUGUGAGAGUACCCGAAGAAAAAGCAUCGGCAAACUCCGUACGAGCAGCCGCGGUAAUACGGGGGAUGCGAGCGUUAUCCGGAUUUAUUGGGUUAAAGGGGGGCGCAGGCGGAUUUUUAAGUCAGCGGUCAAAUCGUGGGGCUAAACCCCAUCCAGCGGUUGAAACUGGGGAUCUUGAGUGUGCGAGAGGUAUGCGGAAUGCGUGGUGUAGCGGUGAAAUGCAUAGAUAUCACGCAGAACCCCGAUUGCGAAGGCAGCAUACCGGUGCACAACUGACGCUCAGGCACGAAAGCGUGGGUAUCGAACAGGAUUAGAUACCCGUGUAGUC
Molecule: ribosomal RNA, 458 nt
Filed under: uncultured bacterium
Lineage: Bacteria
Description: partial 16S ribosomal RNA
Rfam family: Bacterial small subunit ribosomal RNA
Source: RNAcentral